Molecule: ribosomal RNA, 167 nt
Filed under: Ficus variegata (in: eudicots) (common red-stem fig)
Lineage: Eukaryota; Viridiplantae; Streptophyta; Magnoliopsida; Rosales; Moraceae
Description: Ficus variegata Blume, 1825 5.8S ribosomal RNA
Rfam family: 5.8S ribosomal RNA
About the family: 5.8S ribosomal RNA (5.8S rRNA) is a component of the large subunit of the eukaryotic ribosome. It is transcribed by RNA polymerase I as part of the 45S precursor that also contains 18S and 28S rRNA. Functionally, it is thought that 5.8S rRNA may be involved in ribosome translocation.
Source: RNAcentral
AAGAACGACUCUCGGCAACGGAUAUCUCGGCUCUCGCAUCGAUGAAGAACGUAGCGAAAUGUGAUACUUGGUGUGAAUUGCAGAAUCCCGUGAACCAUCGAGUCUUUGAACGCAAGUUGCGCCCGAAGCCAUCAGGUCGAGGGCACGUCUGCCUGGGCGUCACACGU